GGAAUCUAGGGAUGGAAAUGAAAGGGCCAUCACUUACAAUUAUCUCUAGCAACUUACCAGCAAAAUGUUUCCUUUCUUUUCCCAAAGACUUAUGUUCUGUUGUCCUAAAAGUCUUUGUUCCAAAGGAAGGAAUGGUUCCACCAGGAGACACAACAAUGAUUAUACAGAACUGCAAGUUAAGACUGCCACCUGAUGCCUCUGAAUCUACGGGCAAGCAAGGAAGUUACUGUGCUGGCUGGGUUGAUUGAUCCAAACUACAAGGGGAAAUUGGACAGCUGCUCCACAAUAGAGUCAUCCUCAGUGAGUGCCUUAUCAAGCUUAUUACUUCAUGGUGACAAGACGGCUGCACUUGAUCCAACAUCACUUUUGGAUUCCAGUAAGCAAGAAGAAGAAGACAAAUGAGAAAAAGAUAUAAGCCAGCUGAACUCCUAUCAACGUUCAGAUGCUCUUCCCCUGGAGUUUGGCCAUCCCACAGCCGAACUCCUCUCCAACCAUCCCCGG
This is a long non-coding RNA of Gorilla gorilla gorilla (western lowland gorilla), 501 nucleotides long. RefSeq lists it as uncharacterized. Lineage: Eukaryota; Metazoa; Chordata; Mammalia; Primates; Hominidae. The transcript is spliced from 3 exons. The record is from RefSeq and is a predicted model, not a curated record.